AACGAACGCUGGCGGCAUGCCUAACACAUGCAAGUCGAACGAGACCUUCGGGUCUAGUGGCGCACGGGUGCGUAACGCGUGGGAACCUGCCCUUAGGUUCGGAAUAACUCCCCGAAAGGGGUGCUAAUACCGGAUAAUGUCUUCGGACCAAAGAUUUAUCGCCUUUGGAUGGGCCCGCGUUGGAUUAGCUAGUUGGUAGGGUAAAAGCCUACCAAGGCGACGAUCCAUAGCUGGUCUGAGAGGAUGAUCAGCCACACUGGGACUGAGACCCGGCCCAGACCCCUACGGGAGGGAGGAGUGGGGAAUAUUGGACACUGGGGGAAGGCGUGACACAGCAAUGCCGGGUGAGUGAGGAAGGCGUUAGGGUUGUAAAGCUCUUUGACCCGGAACGAUAAUGACGGUACCGGGAGAAUAAGCUCCGGCUAACUCCGUG
RNAcentral lists this ribosomal RNA (433 nucleotides) under uncultured bacterium. RNAcentral's name for it is "partial 16S ribosomal RNA". It matches the Rfam family "Bacterial small subunit ribosomal RNA", at positions 29 to 507 of the family's 1533-position model. The record is from RNAcentral.